CUGGCCUUUCUUAGCUAUGGCAGCGGCGGCGGUAGCGGGCCAUUCGGCUCCAUCCCUAUCCAUGUUCAUCCUGGAUCUUGGAGACCUCCAGCCGGCGGCAAUGGAUAGUGGAAAAGCCCGCGGGUGACGUUCAGGCCUGCCGUGUGACGGACCGCCUCCUGCGAGAUGCCUGGGGGAGGGGCGGCCCCGGGCCAGGCCAAGGUUUCUGGUGUUAAACUUCCUUCUCAGACUCACCAUCAAGUAGCUCGUCCUAUACAAAACAGAAGAGUUGGAACUGUGGCCAAUAUGAGGAGAUUGCAUCGGAAAGGGUGCUGAUCACUGACUGACUGGGUCCUAGCAAUUGUUGCUUUGCUAGAUGGGAAUUGGCUUUUCAUCAGCUUUGAAUGGGACGGGGGAGCAUGGAGCCUUCUUCAAGAUCUCGAUACCUUUUGGAUAUCAGAACAAGUAAAUAAAUGAUGCUUAAUAAAUCUAAUUUUUACA
Long non-coding RNA from Sarcophilus harrisii (Tasmanian devil), 480 nucleotides. RefSeq lists it as uncharacterized. The transcript is spliced from 5 exons. Lineage: Eukaryota; Metazoa; Chordata; Mammalia; Dasyuromorphia; Dasyuridae. The record is from RefSeq and is a predicted model, not a curated record.